RNAcentral lists this ribosomal RNA (425 nucleotides) under uncultured bacterium. RNAcentral's name for it is "bacterial SSU rRNA". It matches the Rfam family "Bacterial small subunit ribosomal RNA", at positions 355 to 772 of the family's 1533-position model. The record is from RNAcentral.
UGGGGAAUUUUGGACAAUGGGCGCAAGCCUGAUCCAGCAAUGCCGCGUGAGUGAAGAAGGCCUUCGGGUUGUAAAGCUCUUUCAGUUGAGAAGAAAAGAUUGUGACUAAUAAUUGCAAUUCAUGACGGUAUCAACAGAAGAAGCACCGGCUAACUACGUGCCAGCAGCCGCGGUAAUACGUAGGGUGCGAGCGUUAAUCGGAAUUACUGGGCGUAAAGGGUGCGCAGGCGGUUCUGUAAGUCAGAUGUGAAAUCCCCGGGCUUAACCUGGGAACUGCGUUUGAAACUACAGAGCUAGAGUGUGGCAGAGGGGGGUGGAAUUCCAUGUGUAGCAGUGAAAUGCGUAGAGAUAUGGAAGAACAUCGAUGGCGAAGGCAGCCCCCUGGGUCAACACUGACGCUCAUGCACGAAAGCGUGGGGAGCAAA